RNAcentral lists this long non-coding RNA (1640 nucleotides) under Anas platyrhynchos platyrhynchos (common mallard). RNAcentral describes it as "lncRNA (ENSAPLG00000030655.1)". The record is from RNAcentral. Lineage: Eukaryota; Metazoa; Chordata; Aves; Anseriformes; Anatidae.
CAGGAAGAACUUCAUGCGUUGUUAUCAACAGAUAGUAUACAACGGUUUUAUCACUUGGAGUCCUGGAGCAUACAAUCCCAUGAUGAAGUCAGAUUCCCACAUAUCUGCAUUUGAUUCCAAAGUGGAGUGUUUUAACGAACCGAAAGAGACCAUCCCUGGCCCUGGAGCAUACCAGAAGCUGUGUGCAGUUGCUGAACACACUGAACAUCGCUACAGAGUGACUGAGCUGAGAAAUUCUGUUUUGGGAAAUGUGUAAGAGGUUAGCAAGGAAGAGAAUGCUGCUGUCUUUUUAACUGAAUAAGAAAAUCCCUCCAUGUAGGCAUCUGGAGGUGGAAUAGAAGUUGUUACCUAAGUGUGAGCAUCCAGGGGGCUGUGCACAGUCUUGCUGUGGUCGUCAUCUGCGUGCGAGUGUAAUGCUUAGAGAGGGCACUCACUCAGAAGCAAGUACCCACAUUUCCUAGUGCCCAGGAGAGGCAGGAAGGGGAUGGCAGACUUCCUUACAGCAAGCUACUCUUCUGAGAGGACUGCCAGACUAACAGGAUAUAGAUUAAGUAGGAGGGCAGGACAAUGCUCUUAUUAAUUUAUUUAUUUAUUUAUUUUCCCAGAUAACAAAAAAAGUAUAAGCCCAUUUGAGACAGGGACAAGAACAGCACUUCCUGGGCAAUUUAUUUCAGUGCUUUUGUAUAAUUUUGAUCAUGCCCACUGCUGCUUGCCAGCACAUCUUUAUCCUCUCAUCUCUGUAGGCUUUUCACUGCAAAGACAUGCCUGAGGCACGUAAAUGCAGGAAACAAAGUUAGGUCUUAGUUGCAGUCUUGCGUGUGUACCUAAUUUGUGUUUUUACCUUCCAAUCAGUUGACUUAAUGCCUCCUUCCCUUCCAAUGCCCUGUGCAGAUGAAGGUGAAUCACAUCUUUAAACGUCCACCUUUUCUUACUCAUCACACUGACAGUACAGUUGUCAAGCCUGUGUUUAUGCACCUUAUUCCGGACCUUCUUCUGGUUCUGGGAACCUAAAAGUGGUGGCACUUAGUGUUAAUUGAAUGUGAUAGGAACAUUAACAUCAGGCAAGUUCAUGUCUUUCUAAUGUUGCUUGAGAGGCCAUUACUGUUAUUGAUUAUGAUCAAAUGUCCCACUGCCAAUGCUGAAAAAUUGUUGUAAUUUGCAGCUGCUGAAUAUAUAUGAGGUAAAAAAUGUUGGUGGUUAUUCACUUAGAAAGAUAGUAUGGUGAUUGAAUAAUAAGUGUAUUUUUUUUUCCCUAUACAACAGUACUGAAACAUAAUUUCAAUUAGUGGAAUCAAAGUCAGAAAUUAUGAUUUGUCAUGAUUUUUCAAGUGAAUGAAGUGUAGAUAUAAACAAACAAGAAAUUCUGUAGUAAUGCCACUGGUUGAAGAGGUUUCCAGUUAUAUUUGAGAACCUUAUACAGUUGUGGAAAAAUCUAAUUCGUCUCUAGGAAUUUAUUUAUUUUUUUUUAAAGCAUAUUCCCAUACUGUUGAGGUAUUUUUGGAAGAAAGAAAUUAAAAUUUAAUUCAGACUUGAAAGAGCUGAUGUAAUUUUAAAAUCUGAAAAAGUGCCUCCUUUAGAAAUAUAGGUUAUCCAAGGACAUUUUUUAGAAAGUAAAAUAAAUUUGGAAGUCAUCUAACUCA